RNAcentral lists this long non-coding RNA (1045 nucleotides) under Homo sapiens (human). RNAcentral's name for it is "HSALNT0380552". The record is from RNAcentral. Lineage: Eukaryota; Metazoa; Chordata; Mammalia; Primates; Hominidae.
GGAGACGUGCCCCCAACCCCACCGCCAUUCACCCUGUCAUUGCAGGGGAGAGAACAGAAUAAAGACGGGUACAUUUUCCAUCUCACCUCUGAACCUCGGUUAGGAAAACGCUGUAGCCCUGACUAGUGGGCUCAAGGGCCGACUGGAAAAGGGCGAGUCAGCGUUCAAAGCCGAUUCGGGGCAGCCCUCUCUAACGCAGAGGGCCGAGGAUAAGAAGACGACAAUGUGUUAGGGGCCCUCCGGGCUAGGACUGUCCUCACCACUUUGUACAUUGCCAAAAUUAAAGAACAAGGAGAUGGCUGGCUAUUUAAGAAGGAAAGGCAGAGGCUGCAGAAAUUGAGCCUAACGGCUUAUCAGAUGGGAUGGAUAAUUCUUUAAGUUUAAAAGAACUACUCAUUUUCCCCAACAUCUGUCUUUGCCAUCUUCCUAUCUAAGGAACCUUUCACUUUUUAGCUGGGGACAUAGCUUUCUGGUAUGAGAACUACACUGCUCAAACUUCCAAUCAGCUUGUAUGCACUUGGUGAAUCUUACCUACCACAAACAGAAGUCUGGAAAGUGAAAAUUUAUUUCCUUUUCACCAUGACCAGCCUUGUUCAGAACAUCUGAGAGGCACAGACCUGAGAAAGAAUCCCCAGGCUGAAGAGGUAGAAGUUGGCAGAAGUUAAAAGCAAUGUCUCCACAAUGGAGAAGUGACAUGCUAAAGGAACCUGGCAUCUAGACAUUUCCUAACCCCCAAUCCCUCCUUACAUAUGACCUGCUCUUAGAGGAGUACAGCGUGGUGGUUAGGAGUGUGGACUCGGCAGCCAGAAAUCCUGGGAUCUGUUGCUUGUUAGCUGUGGGCCUUAAGCUAAGAACUUAACCUCUCUGUGCCUCAGUUGCUCCAUCUGUUCAAAUGAAGAUAAUGAUAAUGAAGAUGAUAUCACCUGCUGUGUAGGAUUGUUAUGAAAAAUCAAGAAUUAAUAUUUGUAAAUCACUUACAGGGUCUGGCACAUAAUAAGUGCUGUGUGGGUGUUUGUUAAAUAAAAUAAUAUACAAUGACAUAGGC